This 497-nucleotide ribosomal RNA is filed under the name uncultured bacterium. Its description in RNAcentral is "partial 16S ribosomal RNA". It matches the Rfam family "Bacterial small subunit ribosomal RNA", at positions 28 to 507 of the family's 1533-position model. The record is from RNAcentral.
GAUGAACGCUGGCGGCGUGCCUAAUACAUGCAAGUCGAGCGAACAGACGAGGAGCUUGCUCCUCUGACGUUAGCGGCGGACGGGUGAGUAACACGUGGAUAACCUACCUAUAAGACUGGGAUAACUUCGGGAAACCGGAGCUAAUACCGGAUAAUAUAUUGAACCGCAUGGUUCAAUAGUGAAAGACGGUUUUGCUGUCACUUAUAGAUGGAUCCGCGCCGCAUUAGCUAGUUGGUAAGGUAACGGCUUACCACGGCAACGAUGCGUAGCCGACCUGAGAGGGUGAUCGGCCACACUGGAACUGAGACACGGUCCAGACUCCUACGGGAGGCAGCAGUAGGGAAUCUUCCGCAAUGGGCGGAAGCCUGACGGAGCAACGCCGCGUGAGUGAUGAAGGUCUUCGGAUCGUAAAACUCUGUUAUUAGGGAAGAACAAAUGUGUAAGUAACUAUGCACGUCUUGACGGUACCUAAUCAGAAAGCCACGGCUAACUACGUG